AUUGAACGCUGGCGGCAUGCUUUACACAUGCAAGUCGAACGGUAACAGGCCUUCGGGUGCUGACGAGUGGCGAACGGGUGAGUAAUGCAUCGGAACGUGCCCAGAGGUGGGGGAUAACGCAGCGAAAGCUGUGCUAAUACCGCAUGUGAUCUGAGGAUGAAAGCGGGGGACCAGGCAGCAAUGUUUGGCCUCGCGCCUUUGGAGCGGCCGAUGUCAGAUUAGGUAGUUGGUGGGGUAAAGGCCUACCAAGCCGACGAUCUGUAGCUGGUCUGAGAGGACGAAGAGCGACAGGGGGGAGGAGACACGGCACAGGAACCGAGGGGAGGGAGGGAGGGGGAAGUUGGGAAAAGGGGGGGAAGCCUGACCAAGAAAGGCCGGGGGGGGGAAGAAGGCCUGCGGGUGGGAAAACGGUUUUGGGGGGAAAAAAAGGGCUCGGGCUAAAACCGGGGGGAGAGAAGGGAACGGGAAAAAAAAAAACGGGUAAAAUAGGG
RNAcentral lists this ribosomal RNA (491 nucleotides) under uncultured bacterium. RNAcentral describes it as "partial 16S ribosomal RNA". The stretch from base 13 to 377 matches the Rfam family "Bacterial small subunit ribosomal RNA", at positions 40 to 399 of the family's 1533-position model. The record is from RNAcentral.